Phyllostomus discolor (pale spear-nosed bat) is the source of this 3501-nucleotide long non-coding RNA. RefSeq lists it as uncharacterized. Lineage: Eukaryota; Metazoa; Chordata; Mammalia; Chiroptera; Phyllostomidae. The record is from RefSeq and is a predicted model, not a curated record. The transcript is spliced from 3 exons.
GAAUAAACUGCAAUAAUGCAUAAUGUAUUUCAAUAUUGCUAAAUGAAAAAGAGACUUGAGAUGUGUGAAAAAGAAACAGUACUACCUAAUUUGCAUUUCCUGAAUAUUCAUGUUCAAUUAUUACUCCAAAUUAAUAGGCCCAUUUUAAAACUCCAUGCAAAUUUCAGCUUGUACUGCACUGUUUGCCCCCAGUUGGGGAACACUGGACCAUUAUGACUUGAACUAAUGUUAUCCUAUUGAUGGUGUUCUUCCUAUUGACUGGUGGUGUUUUUGUUUUGUUUUGUUUUGUUUUUUACAAUAACAAGAAAUGCAUCGCAUUACAAAUUUUAAAGUGUAUCUCAAUUUAAAAGUGGGACUAUUUUAAUUUUAUUCUUAAGACUCAUCCUUUCAAAAAUGCACUUCAUUUUUCAAAUGAUAAAAAACAAGUUAAUCCAUAAACUGGCAAAGUAAAGAUGGAAUGAUACUAGUGGGCAAGUUCUUAUACAUGGGGUCUUAACAAGGACCUUGAAAUGUUGUCUUCUGUGUUACAUCAAAUUGAUUUCCAACAUGAAAUAAGUAAAUGGAUGCAAAGGGGAGCAGAAGCAUGUCCCAAGGUCUUUCUGUAGGUGUUGGAUACAAUACAGAUUUAGAAUAAGUUGUUGACUGAUGUUUUAACACAGUACAUUCUUAAACUAAAUGAUCAAAAGCAUGUACCAUUGGUGAUGAAAAUAAAACCUUAGAAAAUCAUUUAUUCAUUAAUUAGGUCAAUCAGUCAGGAAAUAUGUAUCCAUCUCCUAUUAAAUGCCAAGUAUUAUAUCAGGUUUAGGAAUCUAUAGAUAAGAGAGAAGAAACCCACCUUCAAGGGAUCUCAAUCAAGGGAGGAAAAGAAUUAGAGAUAUCCACAAUGUUGAUACAAUGUAAUACAUGCAAGAGAAAGGUUAGUAUGUGUCAGACCUCCAGCUCUGCAUCCAGUCCCGGACACUCAGCAAUGUGCCACAGAAGAUACAGAGCAAGAGACAAUGAACAUGAAGGGAACUCCCUCUAUACCCCUCAGAGGCAUAAUACCCCACAAGUUGUUGCAAGGGUAGUCAGGAAGCUAGGUGCCUUAUGUAAAUAAUCUUGGCAUUCUACCCUUUCAAUUAGGCCAGUAGUUCUAAAUAUGAAACAGUUAGCAUGCUUCCACACAGUGUUUUCAACCAGUCUAUUUGUAGAAGUACAAAGACCCCUGGACAACACUGGCCUGCACCUUCCUCUCUGUUUACGACUGCUGGGACCCAACACCACAUUGGCUGGAAGAGCCUGGGACAGUGCCUCUCCUCGCCAGCUAGGUAUAGAUUUGGAACAGCAGAUGAGCUGGGAGAUGGGGGAGGCAGGGAAGUGAUUCUUAAAUUCAAAAUAUUAGAUGAUAAUACAGCAAAUUAAGAAUUGUUAAUUAAGCUACAUAUGACAUAGGUGGCUUUCAGCUGUUAAUGUUUAUUGUUCUUUGCUUAUGACUCUUGCCAUCCGAUAUAAAUUUACUAUGAAGUUUACCAGGAAUGAGAAUACCAGAGACCAUCCUUUUAUGAAAUGAUAAGCUCCUUGAACUUCCUUGAGAGAUAAUACACACAUAUUUAUAUGUAAAUAUACAAGAGGAAUUGGCAUGUUUUACCUGGAAUAAAAACAAAAUAGUUCUCUCUUCAACAUCUCUUUACAAUAUUCCCAUGUGUUCAGACACUAUAGGACAACCUUAAAUAGAAAAGACUAUCAAUCUGAACAAACUAAUUUGCAUUAAUAUUUUUUCAGAGUCAGCCCCAUGUCCAAACUAAGAAAUAUAUGUAGUGUAUAUGUGAAUAUAGAUGGAUGUAUGCCUACUUAUCCAUAUCUGUAGCAGAGCUUUAAUCACAUCUCUGUCUCUAUGCAUCUAUGUGCAUUUAUUUAACAUAUUUCUCUUUAGUCAAACCCACCACUGAAUUAUUUAUAUUAUUCAUUUUUUUAAGAUUGCUGCCAUUGAAAGAUAGAUUCCACUAACACUUCAACAAUAUACAGCACCUGAGUCUGUCUCAGUAAUUUUUUUAAAAUUUAAAAAGCAUAUUUAGUUAUAAAUAGCAUUAUACUACCUGCAAGCUGAUUUAUAAUCUACAGAAAGGGCAUGACAACCCUUGCCAGAAACUAACCCGAUUGCAUUGACUUUGGAGCUUUCACCAUUUGUAAAUUGUUUAAUUGUCUCAGUAAAAUCAUUCAUUACUCCUUGCAAACACUAGCAGGGAAACUACACAGACAAUUAUUAGAUUAAGUUAAAUUUAGGUUGCUUUGAUUGUAACUGCCACAAAAAUAAUCAAAGAAAACAAUCUACCUUUCUCAGAUAUUAUAUUUGACUUAUUAGAUUGCAGUUUAAACUCCUGGAAAGGGUGAAAAGGGUGGUGACGGCCCUAUAGACAGUUCUCUCCAGUCAUUUAUUUCAAGACUAUUUACUUUAUAUCACCAGAGCUUCCUCCUCUUAACAUGUUUGCUUUCUCAUUAAUUUUUCCAUGACCUGAAUAAAAAGAGAGAAGAACCUUAGCACUCCAAACCACAUUUUCUAAAUCAAAUACUUCAUAUACUUGUUGCUGAGAUACUAUCAAAUACAGUCACCAAAGUCUGACAACAAAUCAGGUGAUUAAUCUCAUGUACAAUGUAAAUCCAAUGAUGGUUGUCACUUGCAAGAGAAACUGAUAUAAAAAAGUACAUGUCCGAAUGCUUCUACACACUGACAUAAUUGAUCAAUGAAUAUAAGCUGAUUAGAAAUACUCUGGGUAUUCUGGAGGAAGAGGAAGAUUAUACAUAGUUUCCCAAUGCAAACAUUUCACAGAUUAGUUGUACUGAGAUCAUAUUGAAACCCCUGAAUGGAAAGUCUAACAGAUUGGAAGGGGGACCACUGUGCGUGUGAAGGGUGCUUUUACUGUUCUCUCACUGUGUAGAAUGGUAACACGUGCUGUGGAUUUAGGAGUUUUAGCACUAGAAGGUAUCAUCCAUCAAUGUGCAUUGAAGUCUCUACUGCUGUCCUAAAACAAACCUAAAAAUAUCCACAAUUUAAUCUUUCACUGAGCUUGUGUUCUCUUCCACCUUCAGCUUUCAGAAUAUUCAUUUCCUAAAUUAAAAAAUAAUAUCCAUUCAUUGACAAUGUACCAUGCAUCAAGUCUACCAUAAAGAAAGUAACUCAAAAACCAAUAAGAUGUAGUCUCUAAACUCAAGACUCUUCCAAGAAAGUGAAGGAGGCUCGAGUAAAGAGAGGUUAGAAAUAAUAACGGAGGAAAGUAUGGAUGCCAUGGUGGAGCACAGGAGGGGUGAUUAGAUGUUGGAAAUAGUCAGGGAAAUGAUGUCAGCUGGAUAUUUUUCAGAAGAAUGGCAGAUUUUCAAUCAAGAAACAUUAAUUGACUGAAUGAGGGGAUGAAAGGUAGGGUGGAGAAGAAAGAGCAUUGUGCUAAGACAGAGAAAUGGGAAGGAACAGCAUGCCAUUACAGAAUGAGGAGGAUUUCUGUCUAAGAAGAGCACAAAUUACAUUUC